This 29-nucleotide non-coding RNA is filed under the name Homo sapiens (human). The record is from RNAcentral. Lineage: Eukaryota; Metazoa; Chordata; Mammalia; Primates; Hominidae.
UGGACCUUUUGCCAUGUCUGGGCGUGGUA